UUGACAUCCAGCGAACUUUCCAGAGAUGGAUUGGUGCCUUCGGGAACGCUGAGACAGGUGCUGCAUGGCUGUCGUCAGCUCGUGUUGUGAAAUGUUGGGUUAAGUCCCGNAACGAGCGCAACCCUUAUCCUUUGUUGCCAGCGAUUCGGUCGGGAACUCAAAGGAGACUGCCGGUGAUAAACCGGAGGAAGGUGGGGAUGACGUCAAGUCAUCAUGGCCCUUACGAGUAGGGCUACACACGUGCUACAAUGGCGCAUACAAAGAGAAGCGACCUCGCGAGAGCAAGCGGACCUCAUAAAAGUGCGUCGUAGUCCGGAUCGGAGUCUGCAACUCGACUCCGUGAAGUCGGAAUCGCUAGUAAUCGUGGAUCAGAAUGCCACGGUGAAUACGUUCCCGGGCCUUGUACACACCGCCCGUCACACCAUGGGAGUGGGUUGCAAAAGAAGUAGGUAGCUUAACCUUCGGGAGGGCGCUUACCACUUUGUGAUUCAUGACUGGGGUGAAGUCGUAACAAGGUAAGCGUAGCGAG
This 529-nucleotide ribosomal RNA is filed under the name uncultured bacterium. RNAcentral's name for it is "bacterial SSU rRNA". It matches the Rfam family "Bacterial small subunit ribosomal RNA", at positions 981 to 1509 of the family's 1533-position model. The record is from RNAcentral.